RNAcentral lists this ribosomal RNA (1350 nucleotides) under Triticum aestivum (bread wheat). RNAcentral's name for it is "partial small subunit ribosomal RNA". The record is from RNAcentral. Lineage: Eukaryota; Viridiplantae; Streptophyta; Magnoliopsida; Poales; Poaceae.
AUGGAAGAAGCGGCGGAGGAGCAAGCGGCCGCGCCGGUCGCCGGCGACUUCGAGGAUGCGGCGGAGAACGGGACGGGGGAGGAGGAGGGAGGCUCUGCUGCCGCGGCAGAGGAGGACGCUGCGGCGGCGUACUCGUGGCCUGAGCUCCGCUUCGAUCUCCCGCCGCGCCGCCGGUACCACUUCGCCGACCAGUUCCGCUCCCCUUGCUCCUCCUCCGCCGGUAACUUCCUCAAGGGCGUCAAGUGGUCGCCCGACGGCUCCUCCUUCCUCACCAGCUCCGACGACAACUCCCUCCGCAUGUUCUACCUGUACGCGCGCGCGCCUCUCCUUCUUCCUUCCCGUACCUUCUUAUGCCCUCGACUAACGCUCCUUGUUCCUUUCUCGGCCAGGCCGGAGGACGCGUACGGUGCUGCGGCGGAGGACACUGCAGAGGCCGCCGUCGGAGGCCAAGACUCCUAUGGUGCAAGCCUCCAGGUGAACGAGGGCGAGCCCGUGUACGACUUCUGCUGGUACCCCUACAUGUCCGUGUCUGAUCCGGCCACCUGUGUAUUUGCUAGCACCAGUCGCGAUCAUCCGAUACACCUCUGGGACGCCACCACGGGAGAGCUUCGAUGCACUUACAGAGCAUACGACGCCAUGGACGAGAUAACGGCUGCACUUUCAAUAUCGUUUAAUUCUACAGGAUCCAAGCUUUUUGCUGGAUAUAACAAAGCAAUCAGAGUGUUUGAUGUUCAUCGGCCUGGUAGAGAUUUUGAGCAAUACUCUUUGCUUAAAGGGGGUGAAGGGCCAACUGGUAUAAUAUCUUCAAUCUCGUUCUCUCCUCAAAAUGGGAUGCUCGCAGUUGGCUCGUAUAGCCAGACAACAGCUGUUUAUGCGGAGGGCAACAUGGAGCCAUUAUAUGUUCUACAUGGCCAGCUUGGGGGUGUUACACAGGUGCUUUUUUCGAAAGAUGGAAAUUAUUUAUAUACUGGAGGGCGGAAGGAUCCAUACAUAUUAUGUUGGGAUAUUCGGAACACCGUGGACAUUGUUUACAAGUUGUACAGAUCGUGUGAUACUACUAAUCAAAGAGUACAAUUUGAUAUUGAGCCCUGUGGCAAGCAUCUUGCCACUGGUGGGCAGGACGGCAUGGUCCAUAUUUACGACCUUCAAGGUGGCCAAUGGGUGACAGGCUUCCAAGCAGCUGCUGAUACUGUCAACGGUUUCUCCUUCCAUCCAUACCUUCCUCUUGCUACAACAUCAUCUGGGCACAGAAGAUUUGGUAUGGAAGAUGAAUUUGAAGAGGAAUCGAGUUUGGCAGGCGAUGAGAACUGCUGCUCUGUCUGGAAGUUUUCUUGCUCACAAGAAUCUUGA